Non-coding RNA from Acanthosepion pharaonis, 100 nucleotides. NCBI's taxonomy places the organism in Eukaryota, Metazoa, Mollusca, Cephalopoda, Sepiida, Sepiidae. The record is from the annotation of a GenBank genome assembly.
CGUUGAAACACCGGUUCCCGUACGAUCAUCGAAAUUAAGCAACGUCGAGUCUGGUUAAUACUUAGAUGGUUGACCGCUUGUGAAUACCAGGUGCUGUAAU